This 355-nucleotide long non-coding RNA is filed under the name Actinia tenebrosa (Australian red waratah sea anemone). RNAcentral describes it as "uncharacterized LOC116289864, transcript variant X1". The record is from RNAcentral. Lineage: Eukaryota; Metazoa; Cnidaria; Anthozoa; Actiniaria; Actiniidae.
GUUAUUACAUUUAUGGAUUUGUAAGGAUGCCCCCAUGCAGAGAGACACUUAUAAAGAACCCCGAGGGGUUGUUUGGAUUGACAUGGGAUAAGGCUCAUCUCCGAUGGCUAAAUUGACCACGACAUAACAGCAAUCAAUGUACAGCCGAACAGUGUCCAAGGAAAAGUCAGGUUCUGCUUACAGCUAAGGGUCACCUUCUUUAUGAGUGCUCCAUUUUAAAGACAUUUUUAGGUAGAUCUUGCCCAGCUGAAGGAAAGAGGCAUCAUGCCGAUGGUAUUGAAUGGCAUGCUUCAGACAAUCCUUUGCCUAAUACAGCAAAAAAGAUGGUAAAAAUCCACAGGGAACCCAAUUAAGA